CGCACCUUGCGCUCCUUGGUAUUCCGAGGAGCAUGCCUGUUUGAGUGUCAUGAUAUUCUCAACCCAUAAAUCUUUGUGGUUUACGGGAUUGGACUUGGAGGCUUGUCGGCUUAGUUGGUCGGCUCCUCUCAAAUGCAUUAGCUUGGUUCCUUGUGGAUCGGCUCUCGGUGUGAUAAUUGUCUACGCCGUGACCGUGAAGCGUUUGGCGAGCUUCUAACUGUCUUUUUUUUUGAAGACGACUUGUUGACCUCUGACCUCAAAUCAGGUAGGACUACCCGCUGAACUUAA
RNAcentral lists this unclassified non-coding RNA (288 nucleotides) under Dichomitus sp. RNAcentral's name for it is "partial contains 5.8S ribosomal RNA, internal transcribed spacer 2, and large subunit ribosomal RNA". The record is from RNAcentral. Lineage: Eukaryota; Fungi; Basidiomycota; Agaricomycetes; Polyporales; Polyporaceae.